This 319-nucleotide ribosomal RNA is filed under the name uncultured eukaryote. Its description in RNAcentral is "partial 18S ribosomal RNA". It matches the Rfam family "Eukaryotic small subunit ribosomal RNA", at positions 1470 to 1796 of the family's 1831-position model. The record is from RNAcentral.
CCCUUAGAUGUUCUGGGCUGCACGCGUGCUACAAUGGCGUUUCCAGCAAGUCUGCGAACCCGAGAGGGCCAGCGGAUCUUCGAAUUGGCGUCGUGAUCGGGACAGUCGAUUGCAAUUAUUUGACUCAAACGAGGAAUUCCUUGUAAUCGCGAUUCAUCAUAUCGCGCUGAAUACGUCCCUGCCCUUUGUACACACCGCCCGUCGCUCCUACCGAUUGAGCGAUCCGGUAAAUGUUUUGGAUUGGUGCCGGGGCGGCUAGCUGCCGGUCGCUACGAAAUUUUGUGAACCUUAUCGCUUAGAGGAAGGAAAAAUCGUAACA